AUGACUUUCUUCCUUGGCCAUUACCCUCCGACGAGCAUUCCCGAUCCCCUCGACAAUGGCCGGAACCUCGGCCUCUUCAACAAAAGCGUCGGCACGGUGGCGACCGGCGACAACCGAGUCGUGGCGGUUGAGUUCGACACGUUCUUCAACGUUGAGUCCGACAACAGCGACAGCCACAUGGGCAUCGACGUCAACUCCAUCAUCUCCCGGGCGUACACCAACGUGGCCGUGCCUGGAAAGAACCUCACAUCGAACCUCCCAAUGACUUGCCACAUCAGCUACAGCAAUGACACAAAAAUCCUUGCUGCUGUUCUCCAGAUCGUCGACGUGACCUACCGUGUCAACACAAGUGUUGACCUGAGGCAGAUGCUGCCUAGUGUGGUGGCCAUUGGCUUCUCGGGUGCUACUGGCGUGGCCGUCGAGCAACACCAAAUAAUGUCCUGGUCAUUCAACUCCACCUUGGAUCCGUCGCCUCCACGGAGGAACCCCAAGAUUCCGUGGAAACUACUAGUAGAGGCAACCGGACCAGUUAUCGUUUUUUUGGCGAUUGUGUGCAUCUUUGUUGGCGUCCGACGACGGCAGCUAUGCACGAGAAAGAAGCAUUACAGAGCUCUUGCCAGAGGCCUUGAACAUUUUGAUUAUCAUAAGCUAGCGCGUGCAACCAACAAAUUCUCACAGGAGAACAAGCUCGGGCAAGGAGGUUCCGCCUCUGUUUAUCAGGGCCAACUGACAAGUAGACAUGUGGCCAUAAAGAGAUUCAGGCCAGUAGCAUCGGGCGAAGGGAGGAAGGCGUUCGAGGACGAACUCAGGAUUGCCAGUGGCCUGAGGCACAAGCACCUAGUCGAAUUGAUAGGCUGGUGCUACGAUCGCAAGAGGAACCCGAUUGAGUUCGUAUGCUGGUGGUGGGACGACAGGUACACACGUCUCUUUCUUGUGUAUGAGCUUUUGCCACAAGGUAGCCUCGAUCAACACCUACACAGGGGCAAAAGUUGGUUACCAUGGUCCAAGAGGUAUGAGAUCAUCCUCGACCUAGGAUCUGCACUGCAAUACCUCCACGUAGAUUGUGAGCAAGGCCAACAAUGUAUCGUACACGGCGAUAUCAAGUCCAGCAACGUGCUCCUUGGGUCUUCAUACGGUGCGAAGUUGGGUGACUUCGGAUUGGCAAGGUUUGUUCACCAUGAAACUGGGUCACAAACCACAGAUGUUCUGCAGGGCACUUAUGGAUAUAUAGACCCUGUGUUCCUCGACACCUGCCAACGGAACAGGCAGUCAGACAUAUAUAGUUUUGGCAUUGUCCUACUAGAGAUGGUCUCCGGAAGGGAUCCAACAAUGUAUGAGAGGUUGAUAAGCGGCGAGUCCAAUGUCACGCGUCAACAGAUGGAGCACACGUUACUCAUUGGGCUCUUGUGCGUGCACCGGGACCUGAGCAUACGACCGUCCAUCACCCACACCAUGGAAGCCCUGCGAUCGGAGGAGCUGACAUUGGACAUUGCUCCCCUAGCGCCUGUGACACUCUUGCUGCCAUAG
RNAcentral lists this ribosomal RNA (1527 nucleotides) under Triticum aestivum (bread wheat). RNAcentral's name for it is "partial small subunit ribosomal RNA". Lineage: Eukaryota; Viridiplantae; Streptophyta; Magnoliopsida; Poales; Poaceae. The record is from RNAcentral.